AUCUGCAGUCGAGGGGCAGCGCAGGUAGCAAUACUGGGCGGCGACCGGCAAACGGGUGCGGAACACGUACGCAACCUUCCUUUCAGCGGGGAAUAGCCCAUAGAAAUGUGGAUUAAUACCCCAUUAGAUCGUGGACCGGCAUCGGUCAGCGAUUAAAGCUCCGGCACUGAGAGAUGGGCGUGCGUCUGAUUAGGUAGUUGGUGAGGUAACGGCUCACCAAGCCGACGAUCAGUAACUGGCGUGAGAGCGCGACCAGUCACACGGGCACUGAGACACGGGCCCGACUCCUACGGGAGGCAGCAGUAAGGAAUAUUGGUCAAUGGACGCAAGUCUGAACCAGCCAUGCCGCGUGGAGGAUGAAGGUCCUCUGGAUUGUAAACUUCUUUUAUCUGGGAAGAAAUGCCAUUUUUCUAAAUGGUUUGACGGUACCAGAUGAAUAAGCACCGGCUAACUCCGUGCCAGCAGCCGCGGUAAUACGGAGGGUGCAAGCGUUAUCCGGAUUCACUGGGUUUAAAGGGUGCGUAGGCGGAAUUGUAAGUCCGUGGUGAAAUCUCCGAGCUUAACUCGGAAACUGCCGUGGAUACUAUAGUUCUUGAAUGUUGUGGAGGUUAGCGGAAUAUGUCAUGUAGCGGUGAAAUGCUUAGAUAUGACAUAGAACACCGAUUGCGAAGGCAGCUGGCUACACAAAUAUUGACGCUGAGGCACGAAAGCGUGGGGAUCAAACAGGAUUAGAUACCCUGGUAGUCCACGCCCUAAACGAUGAUUACUCGACAUUUGCGAUAUACAGCAAGUGUCUGAGCGAAAGCAUUAAGUAAUCCACCUGGGGAAGUACCAACCGCAAAGGUUGAACCUCAAAGGAAUUAACGGGGGGUCCGCACAAGCCGGUGGAGCAUGUGGGUUUAAUUCGAUGAUACGCCAAGGAACCUUACCUGGGCUAAA
RNAcentral lists this ribosomal RNA (939 nucleotides) under uncultured bacterium. RNAcentral's name for it is "bacterial SSU rRNA". It matches the Rfam family "Bacterial small subunit ribosomal RNA", at positions 53 to 984 of the family's 1533-position model. The record is from RNAcentral.